Molecule: ribosomal RNA, 427 nt
Filed under: uncultured bacterium
Lineage: Bacteria
Description: partial 16S ribosomal RNA
Rfam family: Bacterial small subunit ribosomal RNA
Source: RNAcentral
GUGGGGAAUAUUGGGCAAUGGGGGAAACCCUGACCCAGCGACGCCGCGUGAGGGAAGACGGCCUUCGGGUUGUAAACCUCUUUUGUACGGGAAGAAGGACGUGACGGUACCGUGCGAAUAAGUCCCGGCUAACUACGUGCCAGCAGCCGCGGUAAUACGUAGGGGACGAGCGUUGUCCGGAAUUACUGGGCGUAAAGGGCGCGCAGGCUGUAGAUCAAGUCAGCUGUGAAAUGUCUGGGCUUAACCCGGGCAUGCGGUUGAAACUGAUGUACUGGAGUGCUGUAGAGGCAAGUGGAAUUCCCAGUGUAGCGGUGAAAUGCGUAGAUAUUGGGAAGAACACCGGUGGCGAAGGCGACUUGUUGGGCAGCAACUGACGCUGAGGCGCGAAAGCCAGGGGAGCAAACGGGAUUAGAAACCCUUGUAGUCC